RNAcentral lists this long non-coding RNA (1220 nucleotides) under Mytilus galloprovincialis (Mediterranean mussel). Lineage: Eukaryota; Metazoa; Mollusca; Bivalvia; Mytilida; Mytilidae. The record is from RNAcentral.
CAAAAUACAAAUCAAACCGAUUAACAUAUUUUAUUUAUUUAUUGCAUACCGGUGAAAUACGUCGAUGUGUUAAUUGACAACAUAGACAAGUUUCGUAUAUUUUUCUUGUUGUGGAGGAAUUUCAAAACACAUUCCUUUAUUGUUCAGUUUCAACGCUUAUAAAACUGUCAAACAUUAUGAUAAAAACAAACAGUUAUCGACCCACUUCUAAACUUACGAUUUCUGGCAUAUUAUACAAUUAUCUUUAAGAUAUAUUUGGGGAAUGAGUGUGAUAUUUUUUUUCUAUUUACGAAGAAAUAACAUAAAUAAAAUUUUGCACACUGAAUAGCACUGAAUUAUUUAAUUGUAUACCAUAUUGUUAAUAUCAUUAUGAAUAGACAGCUAACAAAUAAUAAAAUCAUUUCAUACAAUUUAACUUUAAGUGCUCCACUUAUAUUUAAUGCGUUUCCCUCAGUUUUAGUUUGUCACCCCGAUUAUGUUUUUUGUCCAUGGAUUUAUGAGUUUUGAACAGCGGUAUACUACUGUUGCCUUUAUUCAAGUUCCAUUUUUAAGGAAAAGAUCAUAAAAAACGUGUUGAUGACGUCACAGUUACAUCACUAUUUUAAGUCUUUGGACUGAUUAAAAAAAAAACAAUUCAAGCAAUUAGAAGACGUGUUACAUACAAAAAUUAGUUAUAUUUAAAUGCAUUAGAAAAAAAAGAUUUACUCAGAAAUCGUUCUUAUGUUGUACUGAUAUACCACUGUCCCAGGUUAGGGGGAAGGUUGGGAUCCCGCUAACAUGUUUAACCCCGCCACAUUAUUUAUGUAUGUGCCUGUUUCAAGUCAGGAGCCUGUAUAUUCAGUGGUUGUCGUUUGGUUAUGUGUUACAUAUUUGUUUUUCGUUCAUUUUUUUUACAUAAAUAAGGCCGUUAGUUUUCUCGUUUGAAUUGUUUUACAUUGUCUUGUCGGGGCCUUUUAUAGCUGACUAUGCGGUAUGGGCUUUGCUCAUUGUUGAAGGCCGUACGGUGACCUAUAGUUGUUAAUGUCUGUGUCAUUUUGGUCUUUUGUGGAUAGUUGUCUCAUUGGCAAUCAUACCACAUCUUCUUUAUUAUAAAUUGAAAUUUUCGUCAGAAGUGUCCAAUUAAUUUGUAACAAAAUAUUACUCUGUUGAUGGAAAUCGGUAACUUUCAAACCAUGUAAAGAAAUUGGGAAAAAUAUUGGUUUAAACGUAUCUUUUUUUAC